ACCAUCUCAACGAGCGAUUAUAACUGAUUUCAUAACCUCGUUAUCUUCUCCCAUAAAACCAACCACCGCAUCACAACCAUCAGUUGCCACGUGGUGGAAAUCAACUGAAAAAUAUUACCAACUCACUAACAACAAGAAAUCAGUUAACCUAGCUCUCUCACUAGGUUCUCAAAUUCUUGACGAGAAAUACUCUUUAGGAAAAUCUCUCACAACUAACCAAAUCCUUAAUCUCGCAUCAAAAGGACAACAACAAAACGCCAUCAACGUUGUCCUAACAGCUGCUGAUGUGUUAGUUGACGGUUUUUGUUCAAGUAGGUGUGGAACCCAUGGUUCUUCUUAUGGUGCACGCGUAAAUGGAAAGAGAAACAAGUUCGCGUACAUUUGGGUUGGAAAUUCGGAGACACAAUGUGCUGGUCAAUGCGCGUGGCCAUUUCACCAACCAAUUUAUGGUCCACAAAGUGCACCGUUGGUUGCACCAAAUAACGAUGUGGGUCUUGACGGAAUGGUUAUAAAUGUUGCUAGUCUUUUAGCUGGAACCGUAACAAAUCCUUUUGGUAAUGGUUAUUUUCAAGGACCUAAAGAAGCUCCUUUGGAAGCUGCUUCGGCUUGCACCGGUGUUUAUGCUAAAGGAGCUUAUCCUGGUUAUGCUGGGGACCUUUUGCUGGACAAAACAAGUGGUGCUAGCUAUAAUGCAAAUGGUGAUAAUGGAAGGAAGUAUUUGUUGCCUGCUAUUGUUGACCCUAAAACCUCGGCUUGUUCUACAUUGGUAUAAAGUAAGAGUGUUUAGUUGUUAGGCAAUGAGAGAUUCUUUGAUUUGUUAAUUCAAUUAGUUGUUAUAGCCUCGAUAAUUCUUUGAUUCUUUGUAAUUUUAAUAAAUAAAUAAUAUCAAUAUUAUUAUGUCCUCCAUAAAUAAUGUUAUUGAAUGAAGCAAAGAUAUCAUAAUUUUACCAUUAUAGUUUUAUUAUAUACUGAUGCAUUAUAAAUAGAAAGUGAAAAAGAAAAAGAGCAAUGCUAUAAAUAAAUAGUGAAAAAUCUUGAGUUGAGAGUUAUGAUGAGAUUUGCAUCAAGCCCUAUAGUUGGCAAGUUGACUAUGAAUGUGACUAAUACACCGUUCAAUUCCAAAUCAAGCCAAGCUACUUAAUAUUAAAUUUAAUUUUUUUCCAUUUUUUCCUUUUUAAAAUAAAGGGUUGGGAGUGUUGAAGCACAUAGUAUAAAUUAAAUGGUAAAAUUGAAAAAGAAAUAGUUAAUAUUAUACUGAAAAUUGAAGUAAUACUCGAUUUUAGAUACAAUGAGUAUUUUGAAUGAUUAAAUAAUUCAAUUUCUUGAUGAAAUCAUUGUAAGAUCGUGUAAACUAAUUUCAUAUUUCGUCAUCGUGAGUUUAACUCAGUUGUUAUGUACAAUGCAUAAUAUAUAGAAGGUUUGUGGUUCGAAUCCCGACCACAAUUAAAAAAAGAAAACUAAUUUCAUAUUUCCAUAAACAACCCUUAAAAUAUUGCUAAAAAAGUAAAUAUGUAUGGAUAAAUGGCGUUAAUUUCAUAAAUCCAACUUCAACUAAUGCAUAUGCAAUGGUAAAAUAAUAAUUUUUUGGUCUAUGUUCUCUCUCUUUUUUUUUUUUUUUUUUUAUAUAUAACAAAGGUUGCCUUUUCUUGCCAUAAAAUAUAAUAAAGAUUAUCUUUAAAAAAAAAUUUGUUAAGGGUUUAGUUUAAAAUUAUAAUCUUAUCAUUAUUGUCAAUAUUAAUUUUUUAUCAAGUACGUUAGAAGUUAGAAUUUCACCUUUAAAUUGAAUAAGUCGUGAAUCCAAAAUUCAAACCUGAACCCUACGUUUAUAAUAUAAUGUCCCUAUCAAUUGAGUUAUACUCACGAAGACUCUUCAUUGUCAAUAUAACUCACAAAACAUUUCAUCAUAGUUGAUCCAUAAUAGAAUCCUCGCAAUUACUGACCAUAUUCAAUAUACAAUUACUACUAAAAAAAAGUGGAGAAUUCACCAACACCCUUUCAUUUUGGAACCUGUAGAUCAACAGACUAAUGUCAUGUUAGAGUCGAACUUGACGAUGGAUACGUCACCUAGUACAACUCAACAGUCUUUGGUGGCGGUUCAAGAAACAAAUACGAAUGCUACUCUUGGGCAUUAUGAGGCGUCAAUUGAUCCGACUCAACAAAAGGAAAUUAAUCUUGUUCAACAUUUGUUGAUUCAAAGAAAAUUGUUGUGGUACCAUUUACGCCUUAUCUUACAAAAGGUCAAAAAAAGAAAAUUAGCAAGGCAACAUAUCACAACAAAGGAUUGACCCCCAACUUAAGGCGACAACGCUCUCGAACCUCGCUCUCAUAACCGCUCGAGGGAGAGUAACCGUUGGACGACGAAUCUACCAUAUUCUCAGCAGUUUCAAAGCAAAUACUCAUCUUUGUCAACCCAAAAAACGAAGGAAAUGUACAAAAUGCAAAGGAAGAAAGGAAGUACCUUUGAAGUUCAAAGGUUUUUCAGAAAAAAGAGGCAAAACUUUGUAGAACCGUAAACCCCAGAAAUGCAGCCUAGAGAGGAAGGAUUUUCGCGCAAGUUGGUCGGAGGAAAAACUGGGAAAAGAAAACAAUACACUUCUAGGUGAAGUUUAAGAGUGAAUGCAGAAUAUCUGAAACCAUGAAGAUAAAGAGCGUAAAAGUUGGAAACAAAAAGUUUCCCUUCUUUUAUAGGCUUCAAAAGUAUCCAGAUCGACGAUUCAGAAGAGAAGAAACCUUGAAACCAAAGGUUUCUGAUUCAACGAUUAAUGGCAAUAUGACCUCGAACCACGAAGGGCACUCAAGUGGCACGCGCGUGAAGCGCAAAGGCCGGUGCGUGUGCGGGCCACGAAGCAUGCACGUGGAAAGUAAAACUAAACAACCAUCACGUUAUGAACGUUUCAGUUUGAAGCAUUAAAUGCCAACUGCUCCCACUAACUCGCAUGGGGCGCCACCUCCUCGAGGAAGGAAAAACUUCUCGCAAAUGUAAAACUACAGAGGCGCCAACAUGUGAAGGCGCCUGAUCGUAUGCCUCUCUUCACAGCUAAAAGCCAUUGCGCCUUAAAUGCAUCAACAGUUUUGGGGACAAAUGUUCUGGACCAGUUAGAAGACCAAUCUUACGUUGACACGUGGCCUGGCCUACACAGCCUUAAGGCUCUGCGCCUAAAGGAACACGCCAGCUUAAAUGCAUUGUGCCACACAGGAGCGCCCGCGAUGAUAACCUUACAUGUGUCCUCUAAUCGUCCCUAAUCACACGCCGCAAAACUCGAAGACGGUUACUCUCAACGCGCGCCUAUAUAAGGGUGACCUUGCUUCACCCCCAAGGUAUGAUUCACUUUUCACAACACCUUCUAAACACUCUUUCUCAAUUCCAUUACUGACUUGAGCGUCGGAGUGCUAACGUGUCUGAAGACACCUUUUGUCCCACUGCAAGGACUCGUCACCACCGUACCAGAAACCAUCACCGUCACAUCGGAGCACUUUCCACCACUGUUACCUCUCAUCCAUCCUCACCGGACAAAUCAAAACUUCUUCUGCAAACCUUUGAACCUUAAAACUUAUCUUAAACCUGAUGAACCCCCAAUCUCAACUCACGUAAACUUAUGAAGCAAAAAAAAAAAACACAAAUAAAGAAUAUAUAAAGAGAUCACCCAAAACAAGCGAAGAUAAAAAUUGCACAUUCUUGAUACGAGCAAAAUAAGUGCAAUUUUCUUAAAUUAUACUUCACAUAUCCCUCAUUAUAAAAUCCGUUGCAAAAAAAUUGUUUAUCCUUAAUACAUGAUUAUCCAUAAAUUUUAAGUACAUUGCUUUUUUUUUUUUCUUUUUUCUUUCUAAAUAUCAAUUAUUAAUAAGAGUUUAAUGGUGGUGGAUCGACAUUUCAAAACAUUUUUGCACACACAACCAAAAAACAUUCAGAAUUCUCACAUAAAUUAAAAAUAUUAAUUGGCGUGACGAUUUUAAAUAUUUUAAUUGAUUGUGUGCAAAAUUAUUUUGAAUUGUCGAUACACUACCAUUAAUCUCUAUUAAUAUUACCAAUCUAUCUUAGAAUAUAUUUUAAUAUAGUAACAUUGAAAAUAUUUACACAAAAAGAUAUUUAAUAAUAAUUAGAGUCGACAUUUGGAACAAAUUUAUUAUUUCUUCAACUUUUUUUUAGCACGAUUUUUAUAAGAGAUGAAUAGAAUAAAAGUGAUUGAUCAUCAAUCACGCAAAAGAAGAGUUGUUACGCUCUUCGAUGGAGAAUGGACCCAAAAGCUAGGGGCAUGCCUUGUACAAAGAAUACACAGCUUUGUCGUUUUGUUUCAUAGCUGUGCUGUUGCCUGUUACUGUCCCAAAUCAAUGAAUUCAUGCAAACUGGAAUAACAAAAUAACAACGCGUGAUAUAGCUGGCACAUCCACCACUCACUCCACUCAUCCUCCUACAUAAUUUAACUUCAACUAUAUAUAUACCUACAACUACAUCUUACAUUUCCAUCACCUCACAACAUUUCCACAUUCCCUUCUACUUCAUACUUUGUUCUAUCUCAAAAUGGCAUCUUUUAAGUUAAGUGUUAUCUUCACCCUUUUUCUCACAAUUUCACUACUUCAAUUGAGUUCAGCUAGGAAACUCACUGAAUCAGACCAACAACUUAAAUUUCAAUUCCACAAAGGCCCUCUUCUAACCGGUAAAAUUUCUGUAAACCUUAUUUGGUAUGGAAAAUUCAAACCAUCUCAACGAGCGAUCAUAACUGAUUUCAUAACCUCGUUGUCUUCUCCCAUAAAACCAAAAACCACAACACAACCAUCGGUUGCCACGUGGUGGAAAUCAACUGAAAAAUAUUACCAACUCACUAACAACAAGAAAUCAGUUAACCUAGCUCUAUCACUAGGUACUCAAAUUUUGGACGAGAAAUACUCUUUAGGAAAAUCUCUCACAACUAACCAAAUCCUUAAACUCGCAUCAAAAGGACAACAACAAAACGCCAUCAACGUUGUCCUAACAGCCGCUGAUGUGUUAGUUGACGGUUUUUGUUCAAGUAGGUGUGGAACCCAUGGUUCUUCUUAUGGUGCACGCGUGAAUGGAAAGAGAAACAAGUUCGCAUACAUUUGGGUUGGAAAUUCAGAGACACAAUGUGCUGGUCAAUGCGCGUGGCCAUUUCAUCAACCAAUUUAUGGUCCACAAAGUGCUCCGUUGGUUGCACCAAAUAACGAUGUGGGUCUUGACGGAAUGGUUAUAAAUGUUGCUAGUCUUUUAGCUGGAACCGUAACCAAUCCUUUUGGUAACGGUUAUUUUCAAGGACCAAAAGAAGCUCCUUUGGAAGCUGCUUCGGCUUGCACCGGUGUUUAUGCUAAAGGAGCUUAUCCUGGUUAUGCUGGGGACCUUUUGGUGGACAAAACAAGUGGUGCUAGCUACAACGCUAAUGGUGAUAAUGGAAGGAAGUAUUUGUUGCCUGCUAUUGUUGAUCCUAAAACUUCAGCUUGUUUUACAUUGGUAUAAAGAAUAAUUGUUUUGUUGUUAGGCAAUGAGAGAUUCUUUGAUUUAUUCAUUCAAUUAGUUGUUAUAACCUCGAAAUUAAUCUUUUAUUCUUUGAUUCUUUUUAAUCUUAAUAAAUAAAUAAUAUCAAUAUUAUUAUAUUGUCCUCCAUACAUGCAACACAUGUACAGACGGACGACGGUGCACAUGGCAUACUCUAUCCAUCUCAACGAUAAACAUUCACACAAAUCAAAUUUUAUUGAAUGAAGCAAAGAUAUCAUAAUUUUACCAUUGUAGUCUUACUAUAUAUCCUGAUGCAUAAUAAAUAGAAAGUGAAAAGAAAAAAAAAUAGAACGUGAAAAAUUGAGUUGAGAGUUAUGAUGAGAUUUGCAUGAAGCUUAUAGUUGGCCAGUUGACUAUGAAUGUGACUAAUACACCGUUCAAUUCCAAAUCAAGCUACUUAAUAUUAUUAUAAUUUUUUUUCCUUUUUUUGGUAUUAAAUUUAAUUUUUCCAUUUUUUUUUCUUUUUAAAAGAAAGAGUUGGGGAGUGUUGAAGCACAUAGUAUAAAUUAAAUGGUAAAAUUGAAAAAGAGAUAGUUAAUAUUAUACUGAAAAUUGAAAUAAUACUCGAUUUUAGAUAAACUUCUUUGGCAAAUGUCCCACUCAUAAUGUGACACAAUGAUUAUUUUGAAUGAUUUUUUUUUUUUUAAGAAAUUAUUUCAAUGACUAAAUAAUUCAAUUUCUUGAUGAUAUCAUCGUAAGUAGACAUGACAACACAACCCGUCCCCAUUGGAUCCCACCCACCCCGUCCCGAUUUUAAUGGGGAAAAGCCGAAUUGGUUAUGGGUGCGGGUUUGGAGAAAACCCGGAGUUUUAAUACGGGGGCGGGGGAUACUCACACUCGCCCUCGCCCCGUUUUUUUAAAUUACUAUUUUUAUCCUUAUUUUUUAUAGUCAUAUUACUCAUAUACCCUUCUUAAUCUUAACAUAGAAGCUUUUGUUUUAAUUAUCUUGCCACUAAACAUAUUUUUUCACGAUGAUGUUAUGAUCUCUAAUGAAUUUAGAAGCUUUUGUUAUUAGCUCUUUUUGUUAUUGUGAAAAAAUAAAAUAAAAAAUUGUCUACAAUUUUCGCGGGUGGGGUUGGGGAAAUCCGUCCCCGUUGGGGCAGGUCCGGGUGUAAAAUUUCUAUCCAGACGGGUUUGGGGGUGGGGGCGGGGCUGGGUACAAUGAAACAGGGACGGGGCCGGGUAUGUUAAAACUUGCCCCCGCCCCGUUGCCAUGUUUAAUUGUAAGAUCAUGUAAAUUAAUUUUUUUCCGUGAAUUUAGUUCAGUUGAUAAGGACAAUGCAUAAUAUAGAUAAGAUUCGAUUUUUCAGACAAAAAAAAAAAAAAAACUAAUUUAUUUCCAAAAACAACCCUUAAAAUAUUACUAAAGAAGUAAAUUUGUAUGGAUAAAUGGCGUUAAUUUCAUAAUUCCAACUUCAACUAAUGCAUAUGCAAUGGUUUAUAUAAAAAAGGUUGCCUUUUCUUGUCGAAAAAUAUAAUAGAGAUUAUCUUUAAAAAAAAAAUAAUGUUAAGGGUUCAGUUUAAAAUUAUAAUCUUUAUCAUUAUUGUCAAUAUUAAUUUUUUUAUCAAGUAGGUUAGUGUUAGAAUUUCAUCUUUAAAAUGCAUAAGUCGUGAAUCCAAAAUUCACACCAUAUCAACUAAGUUAUGCUCACGAAGACUCUUUAUUAUCAAUAUUACUCACAAAACAUUUCAUCAUAGUUGAUCCAUAAUAGAAUCCUCGCAAUUACUACCAUAUUCAAUAUACAACUACUAUUAAAAAAAAGUGAAGAAUUCACCAACACCCCUUCAUUUUGGAACCUCUAGAUCAACAGGCUAAUGCCAUGUUAGAGUCGAACUUAACGAUGGAUACGUCACCUAGUACAACUCAACAGUCUUUGGUGACGGUUCAAGAAACAGAUACGAAUGCUACUCUUAGGCAUUCUGAGGCGUCAAUUCAUCCGACUCUACAAAAGGAAAUUGAUCUUGUUCAGCAUUUGUUGAUUCAAAGAAAAAUGUUGAGGUGCCAUUUACGCAUUAUCUUACAAAAGGUCAAAAAUAGAAAAUUAGCAAGGCAACAUAUCACACCCGAUCUAUGAAUUCCCCUAUAGAACCGAAGGGUGGUUGAGCAGCCUCUUUUUCUUUUGGGCCAUUUUUUUCUUUCUUCGUUUAGUUUUUUUUUGUUUUUUUCUCUUACUUUCUUUCGGUUUUGUUUUGAGGGUUUUGGUUUAGCCCCCUCUUGUAUAGUUUCUUUCUUUUUUAUUUAUAUUAUGAGUGGGUGGCAGUGUAAGGCUUUCUUGAGAUGCCAACGGUGUUGUGAUGUCCGAAUGAUCCACUCGAAAAUCAGUUGUUAGAAUUAACAGGUCUUCAAAUCGUUCAUUUAAAAAAAAGGAAACCCGAUUUUUCAAACUCUCAUUGUUGUUUUAACUCGCUCUAUUUUAUUGAAAAAAAAUAAAAUACAUUUACACUUUGCAAGACUAUAUCUAUGUGUUUGUGUCUUGUUAGACUUUGUAGAUCUCUUGUUAUUUGUUAAUAACUUGAUAAUUUUAAUUUAUCUGUAUAUUUAUGUUUUUUUUUUUCUUCCAUGUCUUGCUAAUAUAUAAGCAUUUGUGUUUGACCAUAAAGUUUAUUAAAGAUUUUAGUAUUUUUCAAUAACAUUUUUAACUUACUAAAAUGUAUUUUCUAUUUAUAUACACGUUUAUUUGUUUUGAUAACUAUUUUAUUGGUGCAAAAUAUCUACCAAUAAUAUUAAUGAUUAUUCUCCGCUUCAGAACCUAUUUUUCAAAUUCAAGGGAUCUCCUCUCGGAACAACAUAUUUUUCAUCCACCGUGCGUGGAUCUGAGACCUUAAGAGAUCCGAGUAAAAUUCCACAAAGACCAACAUAAUGUUAGUGUGUAUAUAUUUAUUGAGUGUAGCUACCGAUAGUUGAUGCUUAUUCUGCGAAACUAGAAUUUUCAAUGACAUCUAUUUGUUUUAAUUAAUAUUACAUAUAUAGAGACUCAAUAAUAAUUUUAUGUGUUCUAAAUUUCUACAUGAUCCUAUCUUUGUUGUUUUGUCUAGUUUUCCACUCGUGCCGAAUUUAAUUGAGCAGUGUUGACAACACUUUUGUUUUAACAUUCUCUUCAACAUUUACUUUUUUAUUUGCUUAAAUCAAAUAGGUGUCACACUUUAAAAUUGAAUUACACUUGUUAUGGUCAUAUAUUAACGUCAUCCAAUAAAAAAAUAAGUGUUGAUGAGAAUGUUGAAAAUAAAGUGUCAUCAAAAUUUCUUAUUUUAAUUUGAACAUGUUGUGUUUAAAUCUCAUUUUUCACAACAAAUGUGAUGUUUUACCGAUACCCUAAUGUGUGUACGAGGGUAUGAAGGUAAGACUAAGAACUAAGAAACUAUACGGUAUAUAUACUUUAUCUCAUUUUUUGUUACAUUGCAUCAAAAACCCACAUGAUAUGUCAUGUUAGCCAUGUCAUCUAACUUAGAUUGAAAGAUGAAAUUAAAGACUAAACCAAUGGGGGCUAUUCAGAGAAAUUUAUUGGAUCAUCUUAUGUCGUUUUGUGGGUUAGGGGGUAUGUCAAAAAUGUUCGGGUGGCUCUUAACAUCAUUUGGGUUUUGGAUGUGUGGGGUUAUUUAGCACCAGAGAAAUAGACUCAAAUUCAAUCAUAAGGAGGAAUAUUUGCAAUCUUAUGCGAAAAAGUUAAGCUUUAAUCAUUUUCGUGGUUGAAAUUAAGAUAUAUUACUUUCGAUUUCGAUUAUCAUUUUUUGAGGCUUAAUCAUAUUCAUUGCCUAACUGUUCUAACUUAGCUUAUUGUAUCUUCUUUUGUUUUGUUUAUCUUGUAAAGUUAAGUCGUUUCUGAUACAUCUUGUGCUGAAAGAUUUGUUUUGGUUGGUAAUUUAUAUAUUUCAUUUUGGUCUCUUAGAAAAAACUAACAAUGGGGAUAUAGGGAUUAAAAAAAUUGUUAAAAAAACAUAGGGAUAAGAUCUAAAAUAGAGAAUUGAAUGACUAAAAUUGGCUAUUUACAUAAGUAUACGUAUGGAAGUUUUGCAAAUGUCCUUUUAACCUUAAAACUUAUCUUAACAUUGAUGAGUCUGAAUCUCAACUCUCGUAAACUUUUAUGUAAAAAAAAAAAAAAAAAAACACAAAUGGAGAAAAUAUAAAGACAUUACCUAAAACAAGUGAAGAUUAAAAUUGCACAUUCUCAAUACAAUCAAAUUAAGUGCAAUUUUCUUAAAUUAUACUUCAUAUAUCGCUAAUUAUAAGAUCUGUUUUAUUUUUAAAGGUCUAAUUAUAAGAUUUGUUACAAAAAUUUGUUUGUCCCUUAAUACAAAAGUAUCUAUAAAUUUUGGGGUAAUAGUCCCUUUGGUCCAUUAAUUUGUAAUGAGCAGUUACAAUGAUCCUUAAAUGUAUAAAAGUAUCAAAAUAGUCUAUGAUUGUGCAAUUUGUUAGUCAAAAUAGUCUUUGAUGUUAAAAUACUUCAUUAAUAUUGUCAUAUUACCCCGUCAAUAUACUUACUUAUUGUCAUAUCAGUCUUUAUAAAUACUUAAUUAUUGUCAUUUUAAUCCUUAUAUGAAAAGAGUUAUUGUGAACGUACAUUGAGAGAUUACUUUAGCGCCAGAGACCAUUUUGAGUAACAGAGUGCACAAUCAGAGACUAUUUUAAAAUUUUGAUAUAUCGAGAGACUAUUGUGACUACUCAUUACACAUUCAAGAACCAAAUGAUUAUCCCAUAAAUUUUUAAAUACAUUGAUUAUUUUUUUUCUAAAUAUCUAUUAUUAAUACAACCACUCUAUCUUAGAAUAUAAAAAAUAUUUACAUUGAAAGUAUUUAUACAACAAGAUAUUUUAUAAUAGUUAGAGACAUUUGGAACAAAUUUAUUCUUUCUUAUAACUUUUCUUAGCAUGAUUUUUAUAAGAGAUGGAUAGAAUAAAAGUGAUUGAUCAUCAAUCACGCAAAAGAAAAGUUGUUACGCUCUUCCAUGGACAAUGGACCCAAAAGCUAGUGGCAUACCUUGUACAAAGGAUACACAGCUUUGUCGUUUGGUUUCAUACAUGUGCUGUUAAUUGUCCCAAAUCUAUGAAUUCAUGCAAACUGGAAUAAUAAAAUAUCAACGCGUAAUAUAGCUGGCACAUCCUCCACUCACCCUCCAACAUAAUUUGACUUCAACUAUAUACCUUUCUAUUUUACACGUUAAUUAAUUCCUUUUAAAUACACUUUCCACUAUAUAUAUACCUACAACCCCAUCUUACAUUUCCAUCAGCACAUAACAUUUCCACAUUCCUUCUACUUCAUACUUUGUUCUAUCUCAAUACAUAUCCCAAAUGGCAUCUUUUAAGUUAAGUGCAAUCUUUACUCUUUUUCUCACAAUUUCACUACUUCAUUUAAUCUCAGCUGCUAGAAAAUUCACUGAAUCAGACCAACAACUUAAAUUUCAAUACCACAAAGGCCCUCUUCUCACCGGAAAAAUCUCAAUCAACCUCAUUUGGUAUGGAAAAUUCAAACCAUCUCAACGAGCCAUCAUAACUGAUUUCAUAACCUCCCUCUCUUCUCCUAAACAAGGAACAACCACAUCACAACCAUCCGUUGCCACGUGGUGGAAAUCAACCGAAAAAUAUUACCAACUCGCGAACAAUAAGAAAUCAGUUAACCUAGCUCUCUCACUAGGUUCUCAAAUUCUCAAUGAGAAUUACUCAUUAGGAAAAUCUCUCACAACUAACCAAAUCCUUAAACUCGCAUCAAAAGGACAACAACAAAACGCCAUCAACGUUGUCCUAACAGCCGCUGAUGUGUUAGUUGACGGUUUUUGUUCAAGUAGGUGUGGAACACAUGGUUCUUCUUAUGGUGCACUCGUAAAUGG
This 11327-nucleotide long non-coding RNA is filed under the name Medicago truncatula (barrel medic). RNAcentral's name for it is "long non-coding RNA (MTRU_LNC003376)". Lineage: Eukaryota; Viridiplantae; Streptophyta; Magnoliopsida; Fabales; Fabaceae. The record is from RNAcentral.